AUUGAACGCUGGCGGCAGGCCUAACACAUGCAAGUCGAGCGGAGCGGCGGACGGGUGGGUAAUGCCUAGGAAUCAGCCUGGCAGUGGGGGAUAAAGUCCGGAAACGGGCGAUAAUACAGCAUACAAGCAGAUGAGUCUAGGUCGGCUUAGCUAGUUGGUGGGGUAAAGGAUUACCAAGGCGACGAUCCGUAACUGGUCUGAGGGGAUGCUCAGUCACACGGGAACUGAGACACGGUCCAGACUCCUACGGGAGGCAGCAGUGGGGAAUAUUGCACAAUGGGCGCAAGCCUGAUGCAGCCAUGCCGCGUGUGUGAAGAAGGCCUUCGGGUUGUAAAGCACUUUCAGCGGGGAGGCGUUACCCGCAGAAGAAGCACCGGCUAACUCCGUGCCAGCAGCCGCGGUAAUUC
RNAcentral lists this ribosomal RNA (407 nucleotides) under uncultured bacterium. Its description in RNAcentral is "partial 16S ribosomal RNA". It matches the Rfam family "Bacterial small subunit ribosomal RNA", at positions 29 to 526 of the family's 1533-position model. The record is from RNAcentral.